UACGAUCUGUAUGAUUGAAUCUUAUUUCGAUAUUGUCAAGAUAUAUCGAGCAGAAUGUGACACACUCGGUAGCUACAUAUGCUUCCGCUAUAGACCCUUCAGGCCUUACUUUAUUGCGUACAUACUUUUUCAAGGUGCACAAGAAUCUAUAAAUAAAAAUAAAUUUAAAUUUUAGAAAUAUAUUUAUAUUUUAUAAUUGAUAUGAUAAAAUAUAUAUAAUUUUUUAUUUUUCAAUAGGAUACAUCCAUCGAUAAUGUAUCGGUCUGGCCAAAAAAGCUUCUUUUGGAAGAUGAACAGCCAGAUGCACCAUAAC
RNAcentral lists this long non-coding RNA (313 nucleotides) under Elaeis guineensis (African oil palm). Its description in RNAcentral is "long non-coding RNA (EGUI_LNC080968)". The record is from RNAcentral. Lineage: Eukaryota; Viridiplantae; Streptophyta; Magnoliopsida; Arecales; Arecaceae.